AAUAGAUACCCCGGUAGUCCAUGCCAUAAACGAUGGACACUUGGUGUUGGAGGUAUUGACCCCUUCAGUGCCGUAGCUAACGCGUUAAGUGUCCCGCCUGGGGAGUACGGUCGCAAGAUUAAAACUCAAAGAAAUUGACGGGGGCCCGCACAAGCGGUGGAGCAUGUGGUUUAAUUCGAUGCAACGCGAAGAACCUUACCAGGUUUGACAUCUACUGGAAGACUCUCAGAAAUGAGGUCGCCUUCGGGCCGGUAGACAGGUGCUGCAUGGCUGUCGUCAGCUCGUGUCGUGAGAUGUUGGGUUAAGUCCCGCAACGAGCGCAACCCCCUGUGUUUAGUUGCCAGCAUUCAGUUGGGCACUCUAAACAGGACUGCCGACGUUAAGUCGGAGGAAGUGGGGAUGACGGUCAAGUCCUCAUGGCCCUUAUAUCUAGGGCUACACACGUGCUACAAUGGUCGGUACAGAGGGAAGCAAAGCCGCAAGGUGAGCAAAUCCCNGAAAGCCGAUCUAAGUUCGGAUUGAGGUCUGAAACUCGACCU
This 539-nucleotide ribosomal RNA is filed under the name uncultured bacterium. Its description in RNAcentral is "bacterial SSU rRNA". It matches the Rfam family "Bacterial small subunit ribosomal RNA", at positions 777 to 1318 of the family's 1533-position model. The record is from RNAcentral.